RNAcentral lists this ribosomal RNA (118 nucleotides) under Bacillus safensis. RNAcentral describes it as "partial 23S ribosomal RNA". It matches the Rfam family "Bacterial large subunit ribosomal RNA", at positions 1 to 116 of the family's 2925-position model. Lineage: Bacteria; Bacillati; Bacillota; Bacilli; Caryophanales; Bacillaceae. The record is from RNAcentral.
AUGGUUAAGUUAGAAAGGGCGCACGGUGGAUGCCUUGGCACUAGGAGCCGAUGAAGGACGGGACGAACACCGAUAUGCUUCGGGGAGCUGUAAGCAAGCUUUGAUCCGGAGAUUUCCG